This is a long non-coding RNA of Acinonyx jubatus (cheetah), 317 nucleotides long. RefSeq lists it as uncharacterized. NCBI's taxonomy places the organism in Eukaryota, Metazoa, Chordata, Mammalia, Carnivora, Felidae. The transcript is spliced from 2 exons. The record is from RefSeq and is a predicted model, not a curated record.
UUAAUAGUGAAGAAAUUAGGAUUGUGGAAUAUGGAGUCAGACUAUUUGUCAUUCUAAUUACUUCUCUUAACAGCUGUAUGAAAUUGAACAACUCAAUUUUGUCUCAAAAUCCUCAAAAGUGAGAAUGAUGAUAGUAACAGGACUUUUGUCCAUAGGCACACUGUGAUGUUAAAAUAAAGUCAACAAUUCUCAGUGAAAUGGAAUAGGAUAUGAACUUUCCCAUCAUCUACAAAUCAAGAUAGUAACUGUCUACAAAUCAAGACCAAAGAAAUGCUUCUAAAAAGCUUUUGAGGCAAUAAAAGCUCUUUAUAUUGACA